This is a long non-coding RNA of Vicia villosa (hairy vetch), 4031 nucleotides long. RefSeq lists it as uncharacterized. The record is from RefSeq and is a predicted model, not a curated record. The transcript is spliced from 3 exons. NCBI's taxonomy places the organism in Eukaryota, Viridiplantae, Streptophyta, Magnoliopsida, Fabales, Fabaceae.
UCUGGUUUAGGAUUUCUCACUUCAUCUCAUGGUUUCUUUCUCUCGUGUCUACAAAACAAAGAAGAAGAUCCAUAACUCAUAAACAAGAAGGAACAGAAGUGAAAGGAAAUGAACACAUUUUUAAUCGCAAAUCUAACCGUUCUCCCAAAGCCAAAACCUUAAAUUAGAUGUUUUCAAACCCAAAACCUUACCAAAGGAGAAAACUUUCAUUGAAUCGUAUACAAUUUUCCCUCUCUCGAACAUAUUAGGGUUCUUUCAUCAUCCCUUUGAGUCAAAAAUGGCAGAAUCGCGGUUCAAGCAAUACACGUACAUCCCCCAAAACCCUCUACCCCUCUCCCCUCCUUCUAUAAUCCCAAAACCCAACCCCUUCGACAUGUACCGCGUCGAAAAUGACACCUUCGUAUUCCCAGCCAUCCACGUCGAAGACGAAAGCAUCUUCCCGGUCAUUGAGACGGCGUCUACCAACCAAAGUCCAAGAGAACCCGCGCCGCCUAUGACAAUCUCCUCACCCUCAUCCAGCAGUCCCUCCCCGGUCAGCCGCUCAGUACAGUUAGAUUCGUCGUCGAUAAGAUUCUCGAAAUUCUCAAAAACGAUGCCGUUGAUUACCAUGACAAGAGAAUCAAAGUUGAGAUGCUUCUUAUCCCUAUCCCUAAUUAUGUUUUUGAUCAUCUUGUUUCGGUUGGUAAGUUUAUAACUGAUUUCUAUGGGUUUGCUGCUGGUCAUGUUAACGACGGCGUUGUCGACGGUGUCCGGAGGUUAUUCAUUUGCAGCGAUAAAUAGAACAUUAUGAUGUAGUUACUUUCUGCAUUCAAGAAUUAUGUGAAUAGUGUGGUAGCUGUGAUGCACAUUGCUGCGUGAGUUUUAAUUGGAUUUCUAUGGGUAUGCUCCGUCGUCUUUGAUUCCUCACAAGCUUCGUUCUUUCUUCUUCUGAAGCUCUCCUUUUCACACAUGGAUCCCAAUCAGGUAAGUCAUGUUUUUCUCCCAUCAUUCUCAGAUCUGGAUUCGUACUCUUCAUCCGUGAUUUCCAUUUCAUUUCCUCUAUCGAUUCACAUAAGAUUCAUGUGAUUAGUAUAAUUUUCAUAUGCGUGGAGUCUAUAGUUGAAAACACCUUGGACAUUGAUAGAGAACACCUUGGAAUUCCUGAGGCUGAAUAUCAUGCCAUUGUUAGGAUGCGAUCUGCUGAGUUUGCUAGGAUUUGCAAAGAUCUUAGUAGCAACUAGCUAGCUCACACCACUAGAGAUUCUAUUUUACACAUGUGAGUUUCUUGUAUUUCUUCAUUCAUAACACUAUAUUGUUCAGUGCAUAUAGAUAUGGAUUCUGAUUUGGGUUUAGUCAAAAUUCUCAAAGUUAGUCAUGUUUCAUGAUCUUGUGUUGUCUGUAUAUCUCUCUAUGUUGUCUUUCUCCUCUAAUUUUAAUUUUUAUUAAUUAUUUGAUUUCGUUGGUUUCAACUCGACUCAGUGAGCAUAUUCAGAAUUUCAUUUGACUUAAUAUUUAAUACUUUCCCUUUAUGAUUGUGAAGGGGAUUUUCAAUAAUACCCUGUUUUUGUCAAAACACAAACUGGAAAUAAAAUUGGUCCUCAGGUGAGACCUGAUUUCAUCACAAAGCUUUAUAGAUUUACAUAAAGAAACAUAUGGAAGAUAAAAAUGAAAUUUCUGAGGUAGCUGUUACUACUACAUGUGGUUUCUCCAUGGAAAUGGCCGUUUGGUAUGAACUUUUUCUCAUGCAUUAAGAUGAUGUUUAAAUUCUAGUGUAUCAUAAUGUCAUAAUGUAUUAUAAUCUAUCUUUUCUAUAGCAUUUUCUUAUUAAAUAAUCCAUUCAUAGAGAACAAAAAGGUAUUCACACGAAACUCUAUUAAUUAUUGUAUAUUUAGUAUUUUGUGUUUUUCUACUCUUGUUUAGUUAAUUUUAAUGUUAAAGAGCUGGUUUAGGUUUAAGGUUAAACCUUAAAUAAUAAAGAUGUCUAGACAAUAGAAUAAAUGUAUUAGAUAAUGAAAACAAUAGUUAUUUUUGUUGUUGGUGAUAUUGCUCUUUAUAAGAUUUAUAAUGGAGGAAUAAAUGGAAUUCCUUCUACACCUCACUGUUUGUGAGAUCAACAUUUGUAUGAGAAAUUUGUAGUAGUUGAUGACAUGGAUGAGGGUAUGUAUGCUAUUUAAUAUGCAUGUGCUAACCUUUUAUUUUAUCUUAUGUUGAAUCUUGGUCAUAUGUUCCUGUUUUACUAUGUAAUUUUAUUAAGUUACUAUUGUUGCUCUCAUACGAGUAAUCAACCUAAUUAAGUUUCAGUUUAGAUUUUAACUAGAUAUUAAUUGAUUUAUUAAUCCACAUUUGUUAUCUGAUAGGUUUUCUUCAUUUUAAGCAGUAUCAGGUAUAUUCGUGUUGGCUCUCUAUGUAUUAGGUAUUAGGAAAAAUGUGUAAAAAUAUAUGAUGUUUCUUUCUAUUUAUUUGGUUGUGUAUGUUUUCUUGUUUAAAAACUGAAAUUAUUGUCAUAUCAAUCUUUAGGAAGAGAAAUAGAGAGGAUGAACAGGAUAUGAGCAUCUCAAUGAGCCACUUCACAUAUUGUUGACAGGAGGCUUAGGCAGGCUUAUGAAUUUAUAGAAGAAAUGAUAAGUUUUGUGGUAAGUUCAUUCACAAUGAGUAUUCAUCUUCUCAAAUAAGCAUUAGGUUGUGUAAGGUGUCUUAUGAACUAGUCUACUUUGCUUUGUCUUAAAACUUGUAUUAAGAUACUGAUUACUGAAUGUCUAUACAUAUUUAGAAGAUUUAGAGCUCCUAAUAAAAGGUGAUGAAACAAAUGUUUAAUGGUUUCAAGGUAUGUUGCUCAAUUCUCUAAAUAUGAGUAAUGUCAUUUGAUUCUUUGAAGUGAGAUACAAAACUUCCCAACCUAUAUUUUAAUAGACAAAACUUAUGUACAGUUCCAUCUUAGUUGUUUUCUCCUUGUUAGAGCAUAAUGGAAAAGGGUGUAAGGUGGUUUUUUCUUAUUUGAUAUUUUGCAAUUGUUUUCUCCUUGUGGAUUUAUUUCAUUGAGUUUAUGUUAGUUUUGAACUGUCCUGCUUUGUAUAUAUCACAUAUUAUAUUAUUUGUUUGAAUAUGAUUACCUCGUGUAUUUAUAAUAAAAGUGUUGGACUAAACUUUUCUAAUUGAAAUUAAAGGCAUUUUGUAGGCAGGAGAUGGAAGAGGGGCCAUGUCUGUACUUUCAUAUAAAUGAAAAACUGUAACUAGCUGGUUCCACUAACAAUGUUCCAGUUUGACCAACAUAUUUUUCAAGCUUAAAAUUCAAUAUUGAAGUUUAUCUUUUUAAUUUAAUUUAGAAUAUUUUUUCAACAAAAUAUUUAGUGUGUUUUUGCUGAAACUACAUGGGCAGGUGCUAUAUAUUAUUUGAUGUUAUACACGCUUGCCAAUCAUACAUAUCUUCAGUCCCUUACCCUUAGGCUUGAGGAAAUGAGAGUCAAAAGGCGGGAUUCAGAACAAUGGAUGCAUCAUCGCUUGCUCUGAAAAGAGCUUAGAGAGCGUGUGAGACGGUAUGAUUAAUAUAAGUGGUUGGCAACAUGUGGAGUAGAUGAAGAUAUUUUAGUUCAGAGCCUACCAAAGGAUCUUCGAAGAGAUAUUAAGCGUCAUCUCUGUUUGGCUUUAGUGAGGAGGGUAUGCUGUCACAACCCUUAAAAUUAGUGAAACACCAAAACACUAUCUGAAAUGUGUGAUGGAUCAAGAUAUUAUAUAGGUGCAGAUGUAAAAGAUAGAGCUAACAAGUUCAAUAUUGUUGUUGUUUUUUAGAAAUUCUCGAAGAUAGUAAUAUGUACUUUUAACAUCAAUUUAGCAUUUUAGAGUUUUCAAGUUGUUGUAUAUAUCAUCAAUUCUAUCUAUGUAGAUUUUUUUUAUAUGUAAAUUUGGUGAUAUAUAUAUAUAUAUAUAGAAUUUCAAGUUGUUGUUUUAUAUAUUAAAGCUACCAAAUUUGGUGCAAAAUAUGGUGAAAAUAAUUAUUAUAUUAUAAAAAUUUCGUGCACAUUAGACAGCGCUUAAAGAGAAAAGCAUUGCCUGAA